AGAGGGGGGACAACAGUUGGAAACGACUGCUAAUACCGCAUACGAUCUAACCUCGGCAUCGAGGAUGGAUGAAAGGUGGCCUCUAUUUAUAAGCUAUCACUGAAGGAGGGGAUUGCGUCUGAUUAGCUAGUUGGAGGGGUAACGGCCCACCAAGGCGAUGAUCAGUAGCCGGUCUGAGAGGAUGAACGGCCACAUUGGGACUGAGACACGGCCCAGACUCCUACGGGAGGCAGCAGUGGGGAAUCUUCCGCAAUGGACGAAAGUCUGACGGAGCAACGCCGCGUGAGUGAUGACGGCCUUCGGAUCGUAAAACUCUGUUAUUAGGGAAGAACAUAUGUGUAAGUAACUGUGCACAUCUUGACGGUACCUAAUCAGAAAGCCACGGCUAACUACGUGCCAGCAGCCGCGGUAAUACGUAGGUGGCAAGCGUUAUCCGGAAUUAUUGGGCGUAAAGCGCGCGUAGGCGGUUUUUUAAGUCUGAUGUGAAAGCCCACGGCUCAACCGUGGAGGGUCAUUGGAAACUGGAAAACUUGAGUGCAGAAGAGGAAAGUGGAAUUCCAUGUGUAGCGGUGAAAUGCGCAGAGAUAUGGAGGAACACCAGUGGCGAAGGCGACUUUCUGGUCUGUAACUGACGCUGAUGUGCGAAAGCGUGGGGAUCAAACAGGAUUAGAUACCCUGGUAGUCCACGCCGUAAACGAUGAGUGCUAAGUGUUAGGGGGUUUCCGCCCCUUAGUGCUGCAGCUAACGCAUUAAGCACUCCGCCUGGGGAGUACGACCGCAAGGUGAAACUCAAAGGAAUUGACGGC
Molecule: ribosomal RNA, 806 nt
Filed under: uncultured bacterium
Lineage: Bacteria
Description: bacterial SSU rRNA
Rfam family: Bacterial small subunit ribosomal RNA
Source: RNAcentral